RNAcentral lists this ribosomal RNA (251 nucleotides) under uncultured bacterium. RNAcentral's name for it is "partial 16S ribosomal RNA". It matches the Rfam family "Bacterial small subunit ribosomal RNA", at positions 525 to 775 of the family's 1533-position model. The record is from RNAcentral.
ACGUAGGGGGCAAGCGUUAUCCGGAUUUACUGGGUGUAAAGGGAGCGUAGGCGGCAUGGCAAGCCAGAUGUGAAAGGCCGGGGCUCAACCCCGGGACUGCAUUUGGAACUGUCAGGCUUGAGUGUUGGAGAGGUAAGCGGAAUUCCUAGUGUAGCGGUGAAAUGCGUAGAUAUUAGGAGGAACACCAGUGGCGAAGGCGGCUUACUGGACAAUAACUGACGCUGAGGCUCGAAAGCGUGGGGAGCAAACAG